AUAAUUUUAAAUAAUUAAUUAAACCAAUAAUUUCAAAUAAUUCGUAACCAAAUAUCCAUAUUUGAGUUUGACACGUGGCAAGCAUAUAAAAAGCCACGUGUCAGCUUCUCACAUAGGGUUAAUUAAGGAUUCUACUUUUAUAUAUAGUAAUAGGUUGGUCACAGAACAUAUGGCGAAAUUCUCCGUAAAUUAUUGAAUUUCAAAUUUUUAAAAUUUAACAUGGUGAAGUUUGAUUUCAGUAAACACUGUAACUUCUAUUUAAUAAAAGAAAAUUGUGGUUGUUAAUUCAGCUGACGCAUCAUCUCUUACGGAUAAUAAGAUUGUUGCAAAAUUGAUGUAACAAUUAAAUUAGCUCACAUGUUAUCGACACAGGUACAAAUAUGUGUACUUUUUAAUUAUGUAUU
Molecule: long non-coding RNA, 404 nt
Filed under: Ananas comosus (pineapple)
Lineage: Eukaryota; Viridiplantae; Streptophyta; Magnoliopsida; Poales; Bromeliaceae
Description: long non-coding RNA (ACOM_LNC036444)
Source: RNAcentral